AACGCUAGCUACAGGCUUAACACAUGCAAGUCGAGGGGCAGCAUGAAGUCAGCUUGCUGACUUUGAUGGCGACCGGCGCACGGGUGAGUAACGCGUAUCCAACCUUCCCCUUACUCAGGAAUAGCCCGUUGAAAGACGGAUUAAUGCCUGAUGUUCUCAUGUUGCCGCAUGGCGAUAUGAGCAAAGAUUCAUCGGUAAGGGAUGGGGAUGCGUAUGAUUAGCUUGUUGGCGGGGUAACGGCCCACCAAGGCAACGAUCAUUAGGGGUUCUGAGAGGAAGGUCCCCCACACUGGAACUGAGACACGGUCCAGACUCCUACGGGAGGCAGCAGUGAGGAAUAUUGGUCAAUGGAGGCAACUCUGAACCAGCCAAGUAGCGUGCAGGAAGACGGCCCUAUGGGUUGUAAACUGCUUUUAUGCGGGGAUAAAUGAUCCUACGUGUAGGUUUUUGCAGGUACCGCAUGAAUAAGGACCGGCUAAUUCCGUGCCAGCAGCCGCGGUAAUACGGAAGGUCCAGGCGUUAUCCGGAUUUAUUGGGUUUAAAGGGAGCGUAGGCGGCCUGUUAAGCGUGUUGUGAAAUGUAGAGGCUCAACCUCUGCACUGCAGCGCGAAGUGGCGGGCUUGAGUUGGCUGAAAGUAUGCGGAAUUCGUGGUGUAGCGGUGAAAUGCUUAGAUAUCACGAAGAACUCCGAUUG
This 694-nucleotide ribosomal RNA is filed under the name uncultured Bacteroides sp. RNAcentral's name for it is "bacterial SSU rRNA". It matches the Rfam family "Bacterial small subunit ribosomal RNA", at positions 32 to 715 of the family's 1533-position model. Lineage: Bacteria; Pseudomonadati; Bacteroidota; Bacteroidia; Bacteroidales; Bacteroidaceae. The record is from RNAcentral.